AUUUAUAUAGUUUAAGAAAAAUACAGCAUUUUCAAUGCUAAGUUAAUCUAGGUUUGUAAAUA
Molecule: transfer RNA, 62 nt
Filed under: Morphostenophanes sinicus
Lineage: Eukaryota; Metazoa; Arthropoda; Insecta; Coleoptera; Tenebrionidae
Description: tRNA-Glu
Source: RNAcentral